CGCCCCCCUGGGGGGCGAUAUUCCUAGGAGAUUCGCCCCGGGGGGGGGGGCGAAUAUCCUAGGAAUAUCGCCCCCCUUUUGAGAGGGGGGACGAAUCUCCUGGGGGGCGAAUCUCCUGUGACACCGGACAGCCGACCAUCUAUUAGUUUUGAAAACUCUAAUAGAUUAUUAUAUACAAAUCAAAACGUAAACCAAUCUUUGCUUGUUUUAUUGACUUCAAAAAGCUUACGAUAGUGUAUGGAGGGAGGAUCUUUUCUUCAAAUUGAUGUUGAAUGGUUGCAGCAAGAGAUUCAUACGUUUAAUGUUAAGCAUGUAUUCCUCCCAGGGCCGUAGCAACUGGGGGGGGGGCUGCAGCCCCCCCCCCUCCCCCAAUAAUUUGCUAAUAAUCAUUCAGUUUUCAAAAUCAUGCAGACCUUUAUCAUUUAAUCCAUGACGAACUGCAAAGAAUGAAGAUAUUACCCAUACUUUCCUGCAACUUAUCCGAAAUAUAGUUAAUUAAAUACGCCUUCGCCCAUUUAGUACUACUGAAUUGUAAAUUUCUACAUACUAAAACGCUGUUUUCUGACCAUCAGAAAUCUGUCAAAUCUUCCCCAAAGUCCAGGAAAUGGCAUUUCAGAGACUCUAAAUUUAAAAAUUUCCUCGGGCCUUUGGCCCUCGCUUUCAGCACCCCCCAAUCGAAAAGAGCUUCC
This is a non-coding RNA of Paramuricea clavata, 689 nucleotides long. The record is from the annotation of a GenBank genome assembly. Lineage: Eukaryota; Metazoa; Cnidaria; Anthozoa; Malacalcyonacea; Plexauridae.